RNAcentral lists this long non-coding RNA (2831 nucleotides) under Lupinus angustifolius (narrow-leaved blue lupine). Its description in RNAcentral is "long non-coding RNA (LANG_LNC002112)". Lineage: Eukaryota; Viridiplantae; Streptophyta; Magnoliopsida; Fabales; Fabaceae. The record is from RNAcentral.
GGCAGAGCCCAACCCCAACAGAACUUGGCAGCGCAAAGGCCACCAUAUGAAUUGAGGAAGCAGUUUUGCUGCAGGGAACAUGGGAGUGACCAAAUCAGUUAGAUCAACCUCCAAUAGCUGGCAUUAAAAAUGUUGUACCAAUCACCAGCAAGCCCCUGAUUACCCAGCAGGAAAUCCACUAAUGAAAAUCACUAAAACAUGAACAACGACAACAAUAGCUGGAAGAGGAAGCAGAGUUUGCAACUGAGGGUUCCCUUUAACUCCACUGGAUGUUUUCCUGCUCAACUUCUUCUAAAGGGAAUGAACCUCCGACAAUCACACCAUCACUUUAGGGUCCUUCACCUUCACCAACAAACCCUUUGGGCUCAGCACAAAAUCCUUGGUUCCAUGUUGUAAGAGAAUGAAGAAAACUAAGAAGAGAGAAGAGAGAAAGAGAGAGAGAGCAGUUAUUGUAACUAACUCUUAGUUAGUUAUUUUCUAUUUCUGAAUUCUUAAUUGAUGAGUGCUUACUCAAUCCUUUUUAUAGGAGAAUAGAGGCACAACUGUUUCUUACAAUCAGUUUUGCCAAUUGGCAAUAUUAACUACUCUAAUAUACCCCCCUGAAAAGGAACUCCCCUUUUCCUAUGCCUUACUAGAGUACAAUGAAGAAACAACAACAAAUUUAGAUACACAUUUUAGUUAGGGACAAGGCAUCUGUCACUCUAAGGGAUUUUCUCAUUGAAAGGAACUUGGAUGUUGACAGAGGCUUUGUUAGGACAUCUGCAGUUUGAUGUUCUGAUGGAAUAUGCUUUACUUGAAGAGCCUUUGAUUGGAUUCUGUCUCUUACAAAGAACAGGUCCAGUUCAAUGUGCUUUGUCCUGUUGUGAAGGACAGGAUUGUGAGCCAUAGCAACAGUGCUAAGGUUAUCACAGAGAACCAGAGGGGUUUGAUAUUUGUAUUGUAACUCUGAGAAAAGAGAUUCAAUCCAGAUCACUUCUUGAGUAGCCAGAGCCAAGCUUCUGUACUCAGCCUCUGUACUUGACCUAGAAAUGGUUUGUUGCUUCUUUGACCACCAAGUGACAACAUUUGGUCCAACAAAGAUGCAAGCUCCUGAGAUGGACUUUCUGUCAUCAAGGUCUGAGGCCCAAUCAGCAUCACAGCAAGCUAUGAUAGGAAUAGGAGUAGAAGAAACAGCAUGCUGGAUGUGUAGACCUAAGGAGGAAGACCCUUGUAAGUAUCUCAGGAUUCUCUUCACUGCACUCCAGUGCUGAANNNNNNNNNNNNNNNNNNNNNNNNNNNNNNNNNNNNNNNNNNNNNNNNNNNNNNNNNNNNNNNNNNNNNNNNNNNNNNNNNNNNNNNNNNNNNNNNNNNNUAACCUUGACCAAAACCUUGAUGGAUCACAGAUGAGUAUGGUCUGGUCAUUGUUCCAGAAGAGUAGGGUGCAUAUGGGGUAGAUGGCCUUGAAUACAUGUUUGAAGUUGGGGCUCCAUACUGAUUUUGAUGUUGAUACUGUCCAUAGAAAUGAGAAGGUGUUAGUGUGCCAUGAUGACUAUCAUAGGGAGCAUAGUAGCACCAGGAGACAUCAUGUCCUGGUUUCCUGCAAUAGUCACAAAAGAAGCUUCCAGGACGAGUGAAAUUCCUGCCAGAACGAAGACCACAUCCACCACGUUUUCCAUAACGUCCACCUCGAGUUUGAGUGUAGAAACCAGACUGAAAAUUGUCUGAAGGUCUUGGUAAGAUGCCAGAGAAAUGUGGAGAAUGAGGAUGACCAGUGGGAGAUGGCAUGGAUACAGAGAGAGGUGAUUGAGGGGGAGAUUGAGCAACUAUGUUUGCUGAGAGAGCAUCAGACACAGACUUGUUUUUGUUCUUGGCUAAUCUUGAUUCAAAAGUCAGUAAAAAUUGUUCCAAUUCAUGAAUUGAGGGUGGAUUAACUUGGCUUUCAAUAGAUGUAAUAACAUUCUGAAAAUCUUCAUUUAAACCAUCCAGAAUGCAAUCAACAUUUUCUUCAAGAGAUAUUGGUGUUCCAAUUGAGAUUAGAGAAUCAGUUAGGGAUUUCACCUUAGAGAAAAAUUCAGAGAUAUUCAUAGAGCCUUGAGAGAGAGACCUAAGCUGAGUUCGUAAUUGACGACUUCUAGCUUUUGUAUGUGAGUUGCAAAAGGCAUGUAAUUCACUCCAUAACUGCCAGGAGUGAACACAUCCAACAACUCGUGGAUGAAGAGUUUCUGAAAUUGAAUUGAGGAGCCACGAAAACACUGCUUGAUCUUGUUCUUCCCAUGCUAGAUAGCCAGGAUUUACCUGAUGUGCAAUACGAUUUGAAUCAGACAGAAAACGUAGAGGAACAUUGCUGGAAUGAAUGAAGCGUAGUGCACGAUUUGAUUUCAGGACAGCAAGCACGAAUUGGCUCCAUGUGAGGUAGUUAUGUUCAGUGAGCUUUGUAUUUGGUAUUUGAAGAGAAAGAGUUGAAGGUUGAGCACGAAGAGGAGUGGCAGCAGAAGACGAGAGAGGAGGAGAUGAAGCUUCGUGAGGAGGAUCGUUAAUGGCGUUGGCCAAGUUUUAAAACAUUUUUUAUGAAACACUGUUAACCUUAACUUAAAGUUUUGAUAAUGAAAAAGAUUAUGGGUGUAAUGGAUUUUGUAAGAGAAUGAAGAAAACUAAGAAGAGAGAAGAGAGAAAGAGAGAGAGAGCAGUUAUUGUAACUAACUCUUAGUUAGUUAUUUUCUAUUUCUGAAUUCUUAAUUGAUGAGUGCUUACUCAAUCCUUUUUAUAGGAGAAUAGAGGCACAACUGUUUCUUACAAUCAGUUUUGCCAACUGGCAAUAUUAACUACUCUAAUACAUGUACAUCAGAUUAUCC